CAGUUGCGGCGUCUACACAUGCAGUCCGACGUGAAAGGGGAGCAAUCCCCCGGUAGGGUGGCAAACGGGUGAGUAAGACAUGGGUGAUCUGCCCUGGAGAUGGGGAUAUCCCUCCGAAAGGGGGGGCAAUACCGAAUAGUAUCCGGUUCCGUGAAGGGGGCCGGGGAAAGGGAGGCCUCUGGUACAAGCUUCCGCUCCUGGAUGAGCCCAUGGCCCAUCAGCUAGUUGGUAGGGUAAAGGCCUACCAAGGCGACGACGGGUAGCUGGUCUGAGAGGACAACCAGCCACACUGGCACUGAGACACGGGCCAGACUCCUACGGGAGGCAGCAGUGAGGAAUAUUGCGCAAUGGGGGCAACCCUGACGCAGCAACGCCGCGUGUGGGAAGAAGGCUUUCGGGUUGUAAACCACUUUUGCCCGGGACGAAAGGGGGGACCUGAAUAAGGUUGCCCGAUGACGGUACCGGGAGAAUAAGCCACGGCUAACUCUGUGCCAGCAGCCGCGGUAAGACAGAGGUGGCAAGCGUUGUUCGGAGUUACUGGGCGUAAAGAGUCUGUAGGUGGUCUGUCAAGUCUUUGGUGAAAGGCCGUGGCUUAACCAUGGGAAUGCCAAAGAGACUGGCAGACUGGAGGCUGGGAGAGGGAAGCGGAAUUUCUGGUGUAGCGGUGAAAUGCGUAGAUAUCAGAAGGAAGGCCGGUGGCGAAGGCGGCUUCCUGGAACAGACCUGACACUGAGAGACGAAAGCGUGGGGAGCAAACAGGAUUAGAUACCCUGGUAGUCCACGCCCUAAACGAUGGGUACUAA
RNAcentral lists this ribosomal RNA (803 nucleotides) under uncultured Leptospirillum sp. RNAcentral's name for it is "bacterial SSU rRNA". It matches the Rfam family "Bacterial small subunit ribosomal RNA", at positions 34 to 819 of the family's 1533-position model. Lineage: Bacteria; Pseudomonadati; Nitrospirota; Nitrospiria; Nitrospirales; Nitrospiraceae. The record is from RNAcentral.